RNAcentral lists this ribosomal RNA (380 nucleotides) under uncultured eukaryote. Its description in RNAcentral is "partial 18S ribosomal RNA". It matches the Rfam family "Eukaryotic small subunit ribosomal RNA", at positions 592 to 976 of the family's 1831-position model. The record is from RNAcentral.
CAAUAGCGUAUAUUAAAGUUGUUGCAGUUAAAAAGCUCGUAGUUGGAUUUGUAGCGUACGGUGGGUUCCGGGCACUUGUUGUCUGAGUAACUUGCUGUUGCCAUCCUUGGGUGGAACCUGUGUGGCAUUAGGUUGUCGUGCAGGGGAUGCCCAUCAUUUACUGUGAAAAAAUUAGAGUGUUCAAAGCAGGCUUAUGCCGUUGAAUAUAUUAGCAUGGAAUAAUGAGAUAGGACUUUUUUGCUAUUUUGUUGGUUUGCGCAAAGAGGUAAUGAUUAAUAGGGACAGUUGGGGGUAUUCGUAUUCCAUUGUCAGAGGUGAAAUUCUUGGAUUUUUGGAAGACGAACUACUGCGAAAGCAUUUACCAAGGAUGUUUUCAUUAA